Molecule: non-coding RNA, 677 nt
Organism: Nicotiana tabacum (common tobacco)
Lineage: Eukaryota; Viridiplantae; Streptophyta; Magnoliopsida; Solanales; Solanaceae
Source: RefSeq, a predicted model, not a curated record
UUUGCUACUGGGAUGCUCUGUUGGAAAUGAGUAGGUCGUUGUUGUUACAAGAAGCCACAGAAAUAUUUAUUAAGAUGUAAGUGAGUGGACACUCCUAAGCAGGUCCUUGUUUAUUACUGUAUUAUUAUCAAGAUGGUUGUACUAUUUAAAGAAGCAUUCAGAUUUUCCUGACUGAACUUUCAGAUAACCUCAAAAUGAGAUACCGAGUCCCACUGAAAAAGUUGUGAAGAAGGUGAAUUGGGAGAAGAGGUGAAAUAGUAAGAGGACAUUUAAAUUUAAAUAUCUGGAGAGUAUCAUUUUCUGGUGGAUUGUAAAAUUCUACUGAGAACAAGACUUUCUAUUAUCGAUCAUGUUUCGUCUGGUACUACAAUUCUAUUUAUGGUGAGAACUCUAGUUUGUUAUGAGAAGAAGUCACGAACUACUGAGAAAUCGUGUUUCAUUCGAGCUCCUUUCUUCUCCAUUCUUAUUGUCAAGAUAGUCACCUCAGGUAUAGACAAACAGUUUGACGAUCCCUCAUUGCAGGCGAGAUUGGCAUUCAACAAAAGAUCAUAAAGACUCCACCUUAUUCAGAGUGUAGCCGAGUCUAUGAGUCAUCAUGUCAGAGUUUUACUACAAACUUAUGGGUUAGCUGAUACCCUGUCCCAUUUUAUGUCAAAUAAUCUUAGAGGCUUUGUAGA